Molecule: ribosomal RNA, 443 nt
Filed under: uncultured bacterium
Lineage: Bacteria
Description: bacterial SSU rRNA
Rfam family: Bacterial small subunit ribosomal RNA
Source: RNAcentral
ACGAACGCUGGCGGCAGGCCUAACACAUGCAAGUCGAGCGCCCCGCAAGGGGAGCGGCGGACGGGUGAGUAACGCGUGGGAACGUACCCUUUGCUACGGAAUAGCCUCGGGAAACUGGGAGUAAUACCGUAUGUGCCCCGUUAUAGAGAUAUGGCGGGGGAAAGAUUUAUCGGCAAAGGAUCGGCCCGCGUUGGAUUAGGUAGUUGGUGGGGUAAUGGCCUACCAAGCCGACGAUCCAUAGCUGGUUUGAGAGGAUGAUCAGCCACACUGGGACUGAGACACGGCCCAGACUCCUACGGGAGGCAGCAGUGGGGAAUCUUAGACAAUGGGCGCAAGCCUGAUCUAGCCAUGCCGCGUGAGCGAUGAAGGCCUUAGGGUUGUAAAGCUCUUUCAGGGGGGAAGAUAAUGACUGUACCCCCAGAAGAAGCCCCGGCUAACUCCGU